AGGACGAACGCUGGCGGCGUGCUUAACACAUGCAAGUCGAGCGACAGCAUCCUUCGGGGUGUAUGGAGCGGCGAACGGGUGAGUAACACGUGGGCAACCUGCCCUCAGCUCUGGGAUAACUCCGGGAAACCGGGGCUAAUACCGGAUACGACUGCUCCUGGCAUCUGGGGCAGUGGAAAGUUUUUUCGGCUGAGGAUGGGCCCGCGGCCUAUCAGCUUGUUGGUGGGGUCACGGCCCACCGAAGGCGACGACGGGUA
This 257-nucleotide ribosomal RNA is filed under the name uncultured soil bacterium. Its description in RNAcentral is "partial 16S ribosomal RNA". It matches the Rfam family "Bacterial small subunit ribosomal RNA", at positions 26 to 285 of the family's 1533-position model. The record is from RNAcentral.